This 470-nucleotide ribosomal RNA is filed under the name uncultured bacterium. RNAcentral describes it as "bacterial SSU rRNA". It matches the Rfam family "Bacterial small subunit ribosomal RNA", at positions 28 to 507 of the family's 1533-position model. The record is from RNAcentral.
GAUGAACGCUGGCGGCGUGCUUAACACAUGCAAGUCGAACGAAGACAUCUGAGUGCUUGCACUUGGAUGGACUGAGUGGCGGACGGGUGAGUAACGCGUGGGUAACCUGCCUUAUACAGGGGGAUAACAGUUGGAAACGACUGCUAAUACCGCAUAAGCGCACGGUAUCGCAUGAUACAGUGUGAAAAACUCCGGUGGUAUAAGAUGGACCCGCGUCUGAUUAGCUUGUUGGUGAGGUAACGGCCCACCAAGGCGACGAUCAGUAGCCGGCCUGAGAGGGUGAACGGCCACAUUGGGACUGAGACACGGCCCAAAACUCCUACGGGAGGCAGCAGUGGGGAAUAUUGCACAAUGGAGGAAACUCUGAUGCAGCGACGCCGCGUGAGUGAAGAAGUAUUUCGGUAUGUAAAGCUCUAUCAGCAGGGAAGAAAAUGACGGUACCUGACUAAGAAGCCCCGGCUAACUACGUG